Molecule: small nucleolar RNA, 134 nt
Organism: Hyla sarda
Lineage: Eukaryota; Metazoa; Chordata; Amphibia; Anura; Hylidae
Product: small nucleolar RNA SNORA14
Exons: 1
Source: RefSeq, a predicted model, not a curated record
CUGCAUUUCUAAAACCCCCUGGUGUCUAAUGUGUAGACUACAGGACAAGAAGGAAUGCUACAAAAAAAAACAAGAGAUUUCCAAAAGGCAAAGACUUAUCCUUGUCUUUUCCUUAUUUCACCUCUUGCACAUUA